CCUACGGGUGGCUGCAGUGGGGAAUUUUGGACAAUGGGGGCAACCCUGAUCCAGCCAUGCCGCGUGCGGGAAGAAGGCCUUCGGGUUGUAAACCGCUUUUGUCAGGGAAGAAAUCUUCCGAGCUAAUACCUUGGGAGGAUGACGGUACCUGAAGAAUAAGCACCGGCUAACUACGUGCCAGCAGCCGCGGUAAUACGUAGGGUGCAAACUGUGCUCGGAGCGUGCGCGGGCGAUGCGGGAAGACAGGGGUGAAAUCCCCGGGCUUAACCUGGGAACUGCACUUGUGACUGUACGGCUGGAGUACGGCAGAGGGGGAUGGAAUUCCGCGUGUAGCAGUGAAAUGCGUAGAUAUGCGGAGGAACACCGAUGGCGAAGGCAGUCCCCUGGGCCUGUACUGACGCUCAUGCACGAAAGCGUGGGGAGCAAACAGGAUUAGAUACCCCUGUAGUC
Molecule: ribosomal RNA, 450 nt
Filed under: uncultured bacterium
Lineage: Bacteria
Description: partial 16S ribosomal RNA
Rfam family: Bacterial small subunit ribosomal RNA
Source: RNAcentral